GGCUCGGUAGUGGAUGGUCCACAUCUGUUUCUUAUUCCGAUGUGCUCCGUCAUUGCAAGCAGGAGGAGCCUAUUCGAAUCAGGCCUGAGCCA
Molecule: non-coding RNA, 92 nt
Organism: Mycena leptocephala
Lineage: Eukaryota; Fungi; Basidiomycota; Agaricomycetes; Agaricales; Mycenaceae
Source: the annotation of a GenBank genome assembly